UACGGAGGGUGCAAGCGUUAUCCGGAUUUACUGGGCGUAAAGCGCACGUAGGCGGCUCUUUAAGUCGGGGGUGAAAUCCUGGAGCUCAACUCCAGAACUGCCUUCGAUACUGGAGAGCUCGAGUCCGGGAGAGGUGAGUGGAACUGCGAGUGUAGAGGUGAAAUUCGUAGAUAUUCGCAAGAACACCAGUGGCGAAGGCGGCUCACUGGCCCGGUACUGACGCUGAGGUGCGAAAGCGUGGGGAGCAAACAGG
Molecule: ribosomal RNA, 253 nt
Filed under: uncultured bacterium
Lineage: Bacteria
Description: partial 16S ribosomal RNA
Rfam family: Bacterial small subunit ribosomal RNA
Source: RNAcentral